AUGUCCUGUUGGUGUGAGGUGGGGAUUUUUAGUUUAGAAGAGCUUGAGACCUUGUUACAUUUCAAAGUAGCAGUUCACAAAUGGGCACCCCAUUUGGUCAUCAUGUGGGAUCAUGGGUUUAUCAUACAUGUUUUAUCUAGCACAACUAUCAAAAUUCCCUCACAGUUUGAUUUAGCAUACUAUUUAGACCCUGAUGCUCUUAAACUAACGCAUGCAAAAGCAUUUGAAAUCACACUAUUUAGUACAACAUUUUCUUCAAAAUAUCACUUUUGGAUAUCAAACUUACUUACAAUCCAAGACAAAUGA
Molecule: ribosomal RNA, 306 nt
Filed under: Triticum aestivum (bread wheat)
Lineage: Eukaryota; Viridiplantae; Streptophyta; Magnoliopsida; Poales; Poaceae
Description: partial small subunit ribosomal RNA
Source: RNAcentral